GAUGAAGAACGCAGCGAAAUGCGAUAAGUAGUGUGAAUUGCAGAAUUCAGUGAAUCAUCGAAUCUUUGAACGCACAUUGCGCCCCUUGGUAUCCCGAGGGGCAUGCCUGUUCGAGCGUCAUUUCACCACUCAAGCCUGGCUUGGUGUUGGGCGACGUCCUCUUUGGGGACGCGCCUCGAAACGCUCGGCGGCGUGGCACCGGCUUUAAGCGUAGCAGAAUCUUUCGCUUUGGAAGUCGGGGCCCCGUCUGCCGGAAGACCUGCUCGCAAGGUUGACCUCGGAUCAGGCAGGGAUACCCGCUGAACUUAAGCAUAUAAUAAGCGGAGGA
This 328-nucleotide unclassified non-coding RNA is filed under the name soil metagenome. RNAcentral's name for it is "partial contains 5.8S ribosomal RNA, internal transcribed spacer 2, and large subunit ribosomal RNA". The stretch from base 1 to 120 matches the Rfam family "5.8S ribosomal RNA", at positions 35 to 154 of the family's 154-position model. The record is from RNAcentral.